AUUGUUAAACCUUCAUCGGGCUCGCUCUGUCGAGGUUGUCUGGCGAAAGCACCAUGCCCAAACCCCCUACAUUUUGACAAUUUGGCCUCAAAUCGGGUGGGAUCACCCGCUGAACUUAAGCAUAUCAAUAAGCGGAGGAAAAGAAACNACCCAAGCGNUUUUCNCNUNNNNGCGGGGGAAAGGGGAAAAACUNAAAUUUUGAAAUCUGGCGCCUUUGGCUCCCGAGUUGUAAUCUAGAGAAGUGUUUUCCGUAGCGGACCGUGUAAAAGUUCCCUGGAACGGGACGUCAUAGAGGGUGAGAAUCCCGUACAUGCCACGGACUACCGUUGCUUCUNGAUCACUCUCAACGAGUCGAGUUGUUUGGGAAUGCAGCUCAAAAUGGGUGGUAAAUUCCAUCUAAAGCUAAAUAUUGGCGAGAGACCGAUAGCGAAUAAGUACCGUGAGGGAAAGAUGAAAAGCACUUUGGAAAGAGAGUGAAACAGUACGUGAAAUUGUUGAAAGGGAAGCGUUUGGAGUCAGUCGCGUCUGGCGGGAUUCAGCCUUGCUUCUGCUUGGUGUAUUUCCUGUCCGAUGGGUCAGUGUCGAUUUUGACUGAGGGAGAAAGGCUUGGGGAAUGUGGCUGUCUUCGGGCAGUGUUAUAGCCCCUUGUUGUAUGUCUCAGUUGNNUUNAAGGAACGCAGCGUGCCUUUUGCCGGGGAUCGCUCCCUC
Molecule: ribosomal RNA, 708 nt
Filed under: uncultured Sebacinales
Lineage: Eukaryota; Fungi; Basidiomycota; Agaricomycetes; Sebacinales
Description: eukaryotic LSU rRNA
Rfam family: Eukaryotic large subunit ribosomal RNA (bases 83-708)
Source: RNAcentral